GACGAACGCUGGCGGCGUGCUUAACACAUGCAAGUUGAACGGAAAGGCCUGCUUUCCCUUGUGGAUUGCGGGUACUCGAGUGGCGAACGGGUGAGUAACACGUGAGUGAUCUGCCCCCAACUUGGGUAUAGGCCUGGGAAACUGGGUCUAAUUCCCGAUAGGACUGCAGGGUGGUGCCUGUGGUGGAAAACGAUUUUCUAGUGGUUGGGGAUGAGCUCGCGGCCUAUCAGCUUGUUGGUGGGGUAAUGGCCUACCAAGGCGGCGACGGGUAGCCGGCCUGAGAGGGUGGACGGCCACAUUGGGACUGAGAUACGGCCCAGACUCCUACGGGAGGCAGCAGUGGGGAAUAUUGCACAAUGGGCGGAAGCCUGAUGCAGCGACGCCGCGUGGGGGAUGACGGCCUUCGGGUUGUAAACUCCUUUCGACCGCGAGGAAGCCACCUGGUUGGAAGGGUGGUGACGGUAGUGGUAGAAGAAGCACCGGCUAACUACGUG
This 494-nucleotide ribosomal RNA is filed under the name uncultured bacterium. Its description in RNAcentral is "partial 16S ribosomal RNA". It matches the Rfam family "Bacterial small subunit ribosomal RNA", at positions 28 to 507 of the family's 1533-position model. The record is from RNAcentral.